AACGAACGCUGGCGGCAUGCCUAACACAUGCAAGUCGAACGAGACCUCCGGGUGUAGUGGCGCACGGGUGCGUAAGGCGUGGGAACAUGACCUUAGGUUCGGAAUAACUACCCGAAAGGGGUAAUAAUACCGGAUAGUGUCUUCGGACCAAAGAUUUAUCGCCUUUGGAUGGGCACGCGUUGGAUUCGCUAGUUGGUACGGUAAAAGCCUACUAAGGCCACGAUCAAUAGCUGGUUUGAGAGGAUGAUCAGCCACACUGGGACUAAGACACGGCCCAGACUCCUACGGGGGGCAGCAGUGGGGAAUAUUGGACAAGGGGCGAAAGCCUGAUCCAGCACUGCCGCGUGAGUGAUGAAGGCCUUAGGGUUGUAAAGCUCUUUUACCCGGGAUGAUAAUGACAGUACCGGGAGAAUAAGCUCCGGCUAACUCCGUG
This 433-nucleotide ribosomal RNA is filed under the name uncultured bacterium. RNAcentral describes it as "partial 16S ribosomal RNA". It matches the Rfam family "Bacterial small subunit ribosomal RNA", at positions 29 to 507 of the family's 1533-position model. The record is from RNAcentral.